Molecule: transfer RNA, 73 nt
Filed under: Achirus lineatus (lined sole)
Lineage: Eukaryota; Metazoa; Chordata; Actinopteri; Pleuronectiformes; Achiridae
Description: tRNA-Thr
Rfam family: tRNA
About the family: Transfer RNA (tRNA) molecules are approximately 80 nucleotides in length.
Source: RNAcentral
GCAUUAGUAGCUCAAUGCCCAGAGCGUUGGCCUUGUAAGCCAAAGGCUGGAGGUUAAAGCCCUCCCUUUUGCU